Molecule: ribosomal RNA, 1430 nt
Filed under: metagenome
Description: bacterial SSU rRNA
Rfam family: Bacterial small subunit ribosomal RNA
Source: RNAcentral
AGAGUUUGAUCAUAGCUCAGGAUGAACGCUAGCGGUGCGCCUAACACAUGCAAGUCGAACGGAGAGAACGGUGCUUGCACCGUUCAAUCAGUGGCAAACGGGUGAGUAACGAGUUUGUACCUGCCCCAGAGUGAGGGAUACCGUAUUGAAAGAUACGUUAAUACCGCAUAGUCCAGUAAUGGUAAAGCCGCAAGGCGCUUUGGGAGGGGCAUGCUUUCUAUCAGCUAGUUGGUGAGGUAAUGGCUCACUAAGGCAAUGACGGAUAGCUGGUCUGAGAGGACGACCAGCCACAAUGGGACUGAGACACGGCCCAUACUCCUACGGGAGGCAGCAGUGAGGAAUCUUCCACAAUGGGCGCAAGCCUGAUGGAGCGACACCGCGUGAAGGAUGAAGCGUUUACUCGUGUAAACUUCUUUUUUGUGGGAAAAUAAUGAUGGUACCACAAGAAUAAGGGGCGGCAAACUACGUGCCAGCAGCCGCGGUAAUACGUAGGCCCCAAGCGUUAUCCGGAAUUACUGGGUGUAAAGGGUUUGUAGGCGGGAUGGAAAGUCAGAUGUGAAAGGCUGGGGCUUAACCCCAUGUUUGCAUCCGAAACUCCCAUUCUUGAAUGAGGGAGAGGUAAGCAGAAUCGUAUGAGUAGGGGUGCAAUCCGUUGAUACAUACGAGAAUACCAAAAGCGAAGGCAGCUUACUGGAACUCUAUUGACGCUGAGGAACGAAAGCGUGGGGAGCGAAAAGGAUUAGAUACCCUUGUAGUCCACGCCCUAAACGAUGAAAACUAAGUGUCGGGGUAACCCGGUGCUUCAAGCUAACGCAUUAAGUUUUCCACCUGAGAAGUACGGUCGCAAGAUUAAAACUCAAAUGAAUAGACGGGGACCCACACAAGCAGUGGAUCAUGUUGUUUAAUUCGACAAUAAACGAGGAACCUUACCCAGGCUUGACAUCGAUGGAAUCCGCUGGAAACAGUGGAGUACCCGCAAGGGACCUGAAGACAGGCGCUGCAUGGUUGUCGUCAGCUCGUGCCUUGAGGUGUUCGGUUAAGUCCGUUAACGAGCGCAACCCAUAUCGUUAGUUACUAUGUCUAACGAGACUGCCUGAGUUAAUCAGGAGGAAGGUGUGGAUGACGUCAAAUCAGCAUGGCCCUUAUGCCUGGGGCUACAAACAUGAUACAAUGGUCGGUACAAUGCGUCGCAACAUGGUAACAUGAAGCCAAUCGCCAAAGCCGAUCUCAGUCCAGAUUGAGGUCUGCAACUCGACCUCAUGAAGUUGGAAUUGCUAGUAAUCGUGAAUCAGCUAUGUCACGGUGAAUUCGUUCCUGGGUCUUGUACUCACCGCCCGUCAAAGCAUGGGAGGUGGUUCCACUGGAAGCCCCCGAAGCAAUAUUGGGGACCAUGGUGAAAUCACUGACUGGGCUUAAGUCGUAACAAGGUA